RNAcentral lists this ribosomal RNA (763 nucleotides) under Litoria pallida (peach-sided rocketfrog). RNAcentral's name for it is "partial 12S ribosomal RNA". It matches the Rfam family "Bacterial small subunit ribosomal RNA", at positions 330 to 1378 of the family's 1533-position model. The record is from RNAcentral. Lineage: Eukaryota; Metazoa; Chordata; Amphibia; Anura; Pelodryadidae.
UGCAAGUAUCCGCAACCCUGUGAGAACGCCCUUAAACCCCUUCUGGGAUAAGGAGCUGGUAUCAGGCACAACACUAAGCCCAAGACACCUAGCUAUGCCACACCCACAAGGGAUAUCAGCAGUGAUUAACAUUAAAUAUAAGCGACAGCUUGAUUUAGUUAAAGUGCAAAGAGCCGGCAAAUCUGGUGCCAGCCGCCGCGGUUACACCAAGAGGCCCAAAUUGAUUUUAAUCGGCGUAAAGCGUGAUUAAAGUUAGUACCUAUUAGAGUUAAACUAAAAUUAAGCUGUAGCACGCUUGUUUUUAGGAAGCCCGAAAACGAAAGUUACCCUAAUUUAAACAACUUGAACUCACGACAACUGGGAAACAAACUGGGAUUAGAUACCCCACUAUGCCUAGUCGUAAACUUUAAAUUACAUCAUUAUCGCCAGGGAACUACGAGCAAAGCUUAAAACCCAAAGGACUUGACGGUACCCCAUAUCCACCUAGAGGAGCCUGUCCUAUAAUCGAUACCCCCCGCUUUACCUCACCAUUUCUAGCCUAUCAGCCUGUAUACCUCCGUCGUCAGCUUACCACGUGAGCGAAAUUAAGUGAGCUCAAUGUUUUUACAUCAAUACGUCAGGUCAAGGUGCAGCAAAAUGAAAUGGGAAGAGAUGGGCUACACUUUCUAUACUAGAAUACACGAAAGACUAUUUAUGAAAUCUAGUCAGAAGGCGGAUUUAGAAGUAAAAAGAAACUAUAGUGUUCUUUUAACCCGGCACUGGG